GACGAACGCUGGCGGCGCGCCCAACACAUGCAAGUCGAACGGAGCUGUUUUCUCUGAAGUUUUCGGAUGGAAGAGAGUUCAGCUUAGUGGCGAACGGGUGAGUAACACGUGAGCAACCUGCCUUUCAGUGGGGGACAACAUUUGGAAACGAAUGCUAAUACCGCAUAAGACCACAGUGUCGCAUGGCACAGGGGUCAAAGGAUUUAUCCGCUGAAAGAUGGGCUCGCGUCCGAUUAGCUAGAUGGUGAGGUAACGGCCCACCAUGGCGACGAUCGGUAGCCGGACUGAGAGGUUGAACGGCCACAUUGGGACUGAGACACGGCCCAGACUCCUACGGGAGGCAGCAGUGGGGAAUAUUGCACAAUGGGGGAAACCCUGAUGCAGCGACGCCGCGUGGAGGAAGAAGGUCUUCGGAUUGUAAACUCCUGUCCCAGGGGACGAUAAUGACGGUACCCUGGGAGGAAGCACCGGCUAACUACGUGCCAGCAGCCGCGGUAAAACGUAGGGUGCAAGCGUUGUCCGGAAUUACUGGGUGUAAAGGGAGCGCAGGCGGAUUGGCAAGUUGGGAGUGAAAUCUAUGGGCUCAACCCAUAAAUUGCUUUCAAAACUGUCAGUCUUGAGUGGUGUAGAGGUAGGCGGAAUUCCCGGUGUAGCGGUGGAAUGCGUAGAUAUCGGGAGGAACACCAGAGGCGAAG
Molecule: ribosomal RNA, 695 nt
Filed under: uncultured Lachnospiraceae bacterium
Lineage: Bacteria; Bacillati; Bacillota; Clostridia; Lachnospirales; Lachnospiraceae
Description: bacterial SSU rRNA
Rfam family: Bacterial small subunit ribosomal RNA
Source: RNAcentral